Molecule: ribosomal RNA, 490 nt
Filed under: uncultured bacterium
Lineage: Bacteria
Description: partial 16S ribosomal RNA
Rfam family: Bacterial small subunit ribosomal RNA
Source: RNAcentral
AUUGAACGCUGGCGGCAGGCCUAACACAUGCAAGUCGAACGGUAACAGGAAGAAGCUUGCUUCUUUGCUGACGAGUGGCGGGCGGGUGAGUAAUGUCUGGGAAACUGCCUGAUGGAGGGGGAUAACUACUGGAAACGGUAGCUAAUACCGCAUAACGUCGCAAGACCAAAGAGGGGGACCUUCGGGCCUCUUGCCAUCGGAUGUGCCCAGAUGGGAUUAGCUAGUAGGUGGGGUAACGGCUCACCUAGGCGACGAUCCCUAGCUGGUCUGAGAGGAUGACCAGCCACACUGGAACUGAGACACGGUCCAGACUCCUACGGGAGGCAGCAGUGGGGAAUAUUGCACAAUGGGCGCAAGCCUGAUGCAGCCAUGCCGCGUGUAUGAAGAAGGCCUUCGGGUUGUAAAGUACUUUCAGCGGGGAGGAAGGGAGUAAAGUUAAUACCUUUGCUCAUUGACGUUACCCGCAGAAGAAGCACCGGCUAACUCCGUG